UGGGGAAUAUUGCACAAUGGGCGCAAGCCUGAUGCAGCCAUGCCGCGUGUGUGAAGAAGGCCUUCGGGUUGUAAAGCACUUUCAGCGGGGAGGAAGGCGUUAAGGUUAAUAACCUUGGCGAUUGACGUUACCCGCAGAAGAAGCACCGGCUAACUACGUGCCAGCAGCCGCGGUAAUACGGAGGGUGCAAGCGUUAAUCGGAAUUACUGGGCGUAAAGCGCACGCAGGCGGUUUGUUAAGUCAGAUGUGAAAUCCCCGGGCUCAACCUGGGAACUGCAUCUGAUACUGGCAAGCUUGAGUCUCGUAGAGGGGGGUAGAAUUCCAGGUGUAGCGGUGAAAUGCGUAGAGAUCUGGAGGAAUACCGGUGGCGAAGGCGGCCCCCUGGACGAAGACUGACGCUCAGGUGCGAAAGCGUGGGGAGCAAACAGG
This 429-nucleotide ribosomal RNA is filed under the name Chloroflexota bacterium. Its description in RNAcentral is "Chloroflexi bacterium partial 16S ribosomal RNA". It matches the Rfam family "Bacterial small subunit ribosomal RNA", at positions 355 to 776 of the family's 1533-position model. The record is from RNAcentral. Lineage: Bacteria; Bacillati; Chloroflexota.